Molecule: long non-coding RNA, 1089 nt
Filed under: Equus caballus (horse)
Lineage: Eukaryota; Metazoa; Chordata; Mammalia; Perissodactyla; Equidae
Description: lncRNA (ENSECAG00000045172.1)
Source: RNAcentral
GUUCCCCUCCAACUCCCACCCACCACUGGCUGAACGUUGCUCCUAACUGUUCGGCACUUUUAGCCUGUCCCCUGUGUAUGGGGCACUAUUGACAUUUUCAACUGGAUGAUUCUUUGUGAAGGCAGCUGCCCUGGGCACUGUGGGAUGUUUAGCAGCAUUCUUGGCCUCUACCCACUAGAUACCAGGAGCAGCUCCCCCACCCCAGCUAUGCUGACUGAAGAUGUCUAAAGACAUUGCCAAAUGUCUCUGAGAUGGGGAGCAAAAUCACCCCCUAUUGAGAACCAAUGAAUCAUGGUGACCAACCAUACGAGUUUGCCCAGGACUCUCUGGUUUUAGCACUACAAGUACCACAUCCUGAGAUACUCCUCAGUCAGUUGCUCACCCGAAAUAUAUUCCCUUUGAGGACUGAGGAGAGCUCAUGUGCCACUGAAUAGCCCUAAGUUUUUCCAGACACCCAAGUCCAGACCUGGACUGUGUAGGGGACCAUGGAAUGGGGCAAUGGAUAAGAAGGUCUUUGACACAUCCCACCCAAGGGGCCCACGGAGGUCUGAGCACCCACCCCUCUAGACCCUGAGUUCCAUGAGGAGAGAAGUGUCUCCUUCCCCAGUGAUACCCCAGAGCCCAGCGGAGAACACAUGAAACAUAAUCAAUAAUGGAUCCAAUAAAUGAGAUUCCGCAGUGUCCUGCCAAGUGCACUCUGUCUUACGUGCCCUGGCAUCUGGGAACCUUUCAGAACCAGCCCUCUGUGCUUUAGGCCGGUUCUGCCUCUGAGCCAUGUGGACCCUCUCGCCUCAAGGAGUGACUCCUCCAUCCACCCUGCAGUCCAAAGGAAGACGAGAAGUGCAGAAAGCAACAGCCCAGCCUUGUCUCAGCAUUUUGAACCUUAGGACUUUUCCCUUGGCUUAGCCAGGGGGGCCCUGACCUGAUCAGCAGGUGACCUUGAACUGGAGACCUCUUUGAAGCCUAUUUUCUGUAGAGGGAAAGAGAAAGAGAGGGCAAGGGAGACUUGUAUGAAUUGAUCAAACAUGAAUUGAAAAAUAACUUCAGAGGACCUGAAGCCCAGGACUCAAGGAGGUGGGACAAGGGAAC